AGGUUUAGGAAGUCGAUGUUCUGGUAACUAAGUUACCCCUGCCAGCACUGGAACAAACUCAGCUCCACAAAUGGAUGGAGAGUACCAUUAGGCAACAGCUGAUGUUCAAACAUGUUGAACAUUAAAAGAGAACACCUUUUGUUCUGUCAACGACUUUAUACCUUCAGGAAAGGGAAUUAGGUUUUCAUGAUGACAAGAAGGGAAGAUACAUGUUUAAGUGAAGAUUGCUGCUAAAAAAGAAAGGCUUAAUAGACUAAUAAUAAACCCAUUCCAAGCUGGCUGCCAGUGCUGGGAAAAACUCCAAAGGCCUGAGUUGAAGAGGAGAGAUGUCAUGUCCAUACAUGGGGGUAAAAAUAGCAUGAGAGACUGAAUGGAAAUCAUACAUUCAGCCCACAGCCAUUAAAGGGAAACAUGUAGGUGGAACUGAUUCAGAUGCUUUCUUAGGAAGAGGGGGUGGAGAGCCCCGAGAAGCACCUGGUUUAUGGAGAGGUAAGAGCUCUCCGAAAAUGAUAAAAGCCAGGCUGGUGCUAUUCCAUUUGGGAUUUGUUUGCAAUUGUGUCUUCCUGUGCUCAUAUAUAUGUGUGUGAACCUUUGAGGAUUACUACUAUUUUACAUCCUAACUUUCCCUCAGAUUGUGAUUAUCCAGAAAGAAAUGUGGAACACUCAGCCUAUCAAUGAAUUACAGUACCCCAUCAUUCAAAGGAUAAUAUUGGCCUCAUACAGGAUGCAUUUGGUAUACAACAUGCUUUUCUUAGAGUCAAUCUUAUCAUGACAUUUGCAUAUUCUGCAACACCCAUUUCAGCUGCUCUUUUCUGAAAUGCCCUUACUUGCUUUGCAGAGAAAAAUAGUGAGGAAUGUUGUCCUUGUGUAAGCAAAAAGAGGUCGAAGAAACAAUGAGCUCUUGCAUUUGUUAGCACUAUAACUGACUGAAAGGCACAGAGCCACACUGUUCCCUAUGGCUCUCUGCACAUUCACUAGCUCAGAGCACAGCAGCUGGAGUUUGAAUCCAUUUUAUCCACCAUGUACUUCUACUAACCAAAAUUGCAUGGGUGACUGUACACCUGCUCUUUCUGUGCCUGUGAUAGGUCCUUGCUUGUUUUACUGAGUAAUAUGGAAGAAGAUUUGAAAGUAGAUCUCCUAAAGCCAAGCCACAGUCUGAAAAAUCAUUUCACUUGUGCUCUCAUUUCUCUUUCUUCUCCUCAAACCUGUCUCUCAGAAUCAGAGGACACUGAUCUUCAAGCUUUCACAAGCAUUUCUGGAAACCCUGCCUGGGUUUGCCUAUACACACUGCUUUUGGAGAAACAGUCAAUCAGUUUCUGUUAUUUUAAUCCUGGUGCUUUCAUAUAAAUAUGUACCAUUACUUGUAACAUCUCUGCAGAAGGAAAGUAUGUCUACAAGCACCAAAAAUUGUGUCUCCGGUACAAAAUGUAAAUUUGAAAAAUAGUGAUGGAAACUUGAUACAGGCUCAAAGAGGCUGUAAGGUAAUGCCACUGGUGUUCAUGCUGCUUUCAUUGGUUCUGAUUCUUAUUUCGUCUUCUAUCUGUGCAAAAUAUAAAGGAGGUGUCUAUGAUGUCUUUUCAUGGAUAUUACUAGUUGAUUUUUUUUUUUUUAGGGAUGGUUGAGUUGUAUAAUUAAAGGGCUGAAUAACACAUAGUUCUUCAUGCCUUACGUCCUUCACACUCUGGUCUGAAGCACAGUCGUAAUCAUAGCAAGGAACUUUGUUGAGAAGAAAUUAAAGUGGAAGGGUAACAUAGUGGGAGUUUCUUCAAGUCUCUCACUACUAUAAUUUUAUUCCAUCCAAAUGCUUAUUGCAAGUAACCACAGUAUGUUUCACUACAAAUUUUACUGGACACAUUAACUGCACAUUAAUGGCUCUUGCAUAGCUCAUAUAUUUGUAGCUCUAGGGAAAGGAAAAGCAAGGCCACUUUGAUAUCAGUUUAUGUAACACAGAAUUUUUUUCUUGGAAGGCUCGAGGCCAUUAAGAGUAUGAACUAUACUGGAAUAUGUUCCGUAUGGCAGUUUCUCAGGUACUGUGAUAGCUAAUCCAAGUUAAUAAUUAAAAUCCUCUUCUAUCCCUCUUUCCUUCAGGAUGCAAGAAAGGUCUAGGGUUUCUUUUAAUACCAUAUCAUCUUUUCCCGUGUAUGUGAUCCUGUCCUCAUUGCCACAGCAUAGUUAAUAUUGUAGCGAGUAAUAUUUCAUCUGGGUAAACAAUCAAAGGGGAGAAGGGUUGGUUUGAUCUUUAAGAUAUAUUUUUAUUGAAUAAGCCCACAGUGAUAUCAGUGAUUGAUGGAGCACUACUAGCACUGGCAGCCUUAAGACCCUGUUUCCAGAGUAGUAGUGCACAUUUAGAUGAAGAUUUUAUCUUGGUUUGGGCAGCCACAGAGCAUGCUGUCCUUGUGCCCGGCCGCUGCUGCACUCAGCAGGCGAUAUUUUGGGAUUUCUCUGCAUCGGAGGGACUUUUAGAGGUUGAAGGUGUAAGAGUAGCCAUGAAAGGGAGAUUAAGCCCAAAAAUCUGGUUUCAUGCUCUUGGGAUAUUUACCACUUCUUCAGUUAUAAAACAUGAGGUUUUUUUCUGCUUGCCUGGCAGGAUGCUGUGAUCUCACAACUGCUGGGUGGUGCCCCCCUACAUUGGGCUCAUAAAGGAACCAUCACCAUUACAAACAAAGGAAUUAGCUGUAAAUACUCAGAAAUCUGAGCCUUAAAAACUAAUGUACUUCAGGCUUGUUUGUUGUUUUUUUUCCCCCUAUAAAAUGUUCUGCUAGGCAAAGUCAUGCAUAAAAUAGAGAAUAUUCCAGUGUUCUCCCUCAGUAUAUGAGGAUGGGUCUUUGGUGUCCUAUCACCAAACCAAAGGAAAAGGUUUGGACUGCGUUAUAUAAAAUAUGAAAGAAAAUGAGUGCAAUUCUCCCACUUGGCAGGGCAGCUCUUCAGCUUCUCCUCAUAGAGGCAGGUAGAGCUGUAGAGGUUUGCUCAUGACAGAGCUGCAAUUUAGUGACUCCUGGAUUUGACCACCAGCUAAUCUUCACAAAGACCCUGCAAUAUCAACUGUUUGCCUUUGGCCUCCAAAUGUCAAAUAAAACAAGUUUAGUUUAAAAAUUCCAAAGAGCUGUUGCAGGAGCAAUUGGAGAUGCUGGAAUAUCUGCUUGCAGAUGAUUUCACAAUUGUAAGGAAUGGCAUCCAACCUGCUCUCUGGCUGAUUGACUUGCUCUGUGCCAAACAUUUUCAUGUUCUGUGUUUUUUCUACUACAUAACUGUCAGAUAGCUUUGGAGUUCAUGGUGGGAGCAUUCAGACGUAGUGCAGCUGUUCCUUUUGCUCUAACAGCUACUUUAUAUCCCAGACAGGUCACAGAACAGGACAAAAAGCAGCUGUGCUGCCAGUCUGUGAAUCACAGAGCAUCUUCCACCUGGGAAGAAAACUGUUAUAUCAGAAGAUUAUGUAUCUUAAUUCUCCAAAGUUACUAGGGAGAUGCUAAUCAGUUAAUUUCUACUCAAUAUGGUAAACUGUGUGACUAGAACUGUCUCAUAAUGCCUUAAAUGGGCAAUACUUUUGGAUUAAAAGGUUUUAUUUCUGUAUUUUCACUUUUUUUGCAAACAUGAGAGAAUAAGGAGCUAAGUUAAACACCUUUGCUAAUGAGUGUCCAUCUGAAUUCACAGCUUUAGCAAUUUAUUACUGAAGAUGACAAUUUAAUAAUGGAAAUAGCUAAUCAGAGAAAACAAAGUUAGUGGUUUUCUCAAAUAAUGCUGGUCAAUGACAGUGUUUGGGCUUGUGAUAGAAGGAAACAAAUUGCUGAAUUUUGAAUUCUGGUACAAUUUUUCAGAUAUAUGAAAAUGCUUUCUCUCUUCAAAGCCUUGAGUGUUUGUAGUCAGAAGACCAGAUGUGCUGAUACCUGGGACCAGAGCUACUGCCAGUGCCUGCACAUCUGCCUCAGCCACAGUGUAAUGUGUGCAAAUCUAGGUGAGAGACACUGAUUUGUGAGAUUUACGUAAAGCCUGGUAGAUUUACCAGAUUUCUGACCAUAGGCAGUGUCUGUUUGUGUGGGUGAUUGCUGCAUAUUCUUACAGGGAUCUUGCUUAAUUUCCUCUUUUAUCUUGGAUUAAUGCUUUAUGGGAAAAUACAUUGUGAAUCUGUAUAACUAACAGGUUUAGUAGUGCUCAUCAAAUAACAACAUUCAGAAGAAGCAAGCACACAUGCUGUUCUCUCUGGGGAGCAAACCUAUCUGCAGGAAUUCAACCCAUUACAUUUAUUUAGCAGAUCUGGAAGAAAGGACUUAAUUUGAUUUUGAAUCACUUUAGUUUUCAUAUUAGAGAAAAGCAAUAAUAGAAAUCAAGUUACCUGGCACAUUUUACAUCAGCUAAACCUACCCCCAGCAGGGUGUUGCUCAGGAACAGCAGCUUGCCACUUCUAGUCAGGAGCAGCACUGCUGCUUCUGUAGUAGAUCACUGUUUUUAUGAUGUUUGGACUUGUAAUAAAGUUUUCUAUCUGUUGCUGGGAGAUAGUACAUAUAUAUCCAUUUCUUAAAAACACCCCAACUCCACAGUGGAGUUUUUUGUAAGCUUUAGGUAAUGGGCUAAUCUGAACAAUUUAAUUGGUUUUUCUACGAAGCUGCCUUAUCAUCCUGUGAGGAGUGUGCCCAAAACUCUGAGGUGUCUUUUUGUCCCUGCUAGUUUUAAGAGCAAAGUUUUCCUGUGCCCAAGGACAAGAAUUCCUUCCCCAGAUCCUUCUAGAGCAACAGGAUGCAUAAUGUCCCUUGGAAACUGGUGAGGACAGUCCAUGCAGCCCUCAGAAUGUGUGGGUGGGUGCAGAAUGCUCUCUCCAGAGCAAACUGUUUGGAAAGGCUAAAUUACUUAAAAUCCCACUCAUCCACAAAACUGGUGCAGUCAAGGAAGAGUAGAAGAGUCAAUAAUCUAGCUGUUUAAUAUAUUUUUUCAAGAAUUAUUUGGCAGUAUCUGAUUUUUAUGAUGUUUAGCAGAGGGACAUGCUGUCUUUCACUUCCUUCCCUAAUCCAUUUCCUAUGUGUUAGCAAAGGGUAAAAAAUACUCGGGUACUGCACUACAACUGAGGUAACCUUAUAUGACAACAAAUUCCUGAGGCUGGAAUAUUGUGACUGGUCUGACAAAAUGUUGCACAUUCUUCUUUUUUUUAUUUAAAUAGAAGAAGCACGGAAAGUUUGCAAAGGAUGGGGGUGGAAGAAAUGUUCUCUGUUCUCCAAAACUGGGUGAGAGGUUGAAAUACAAUUGAAAUUAGAUUGUUUGGAUGUCCUUGAUGGUACAGAUGAAGCUUGUCUGGAUGGAGUUUUUAACUACUUUAUUUCAGUUUUCUUAGUCAUAGUUUUUGAAACGUUUUACAGUUUACUUGGGUGCAUAGGAGCUUAGCUGGAAGCCCUGUUGAAAUCUCAGUAUCUAAUUUUCCAGCAAGCAGUAAGCUCAGCUGACAGAUUCACAGCAUAAGUUCUAUCACAGCAUUGGCUUUCAAGAACUGAUAUAUUAAGAUACACAUUAAUGCACAAAAGAAUUGUAAGUGGCUGCAGUUUGCAUGUUGCAAAAAAUAGUAAUCUGUAUUUAGAGCAAUUGAUUUCCUCUUCUGAUGGACUUCUGAAGUGAGAAUGCUUUAUCAGUCUUUACUACUGAGAGCACUAGGACCUUUUUUGUAAGUAAAUCAACUCUCAUCUGGCAGAAGUGGGUGAGGAGGGUGGUUUGGAAUCUAGAGCAGUGGCUGGCACAGAUCCUCAGUGCUGGACUGACUCUGCUGACUUUGAAGUCAGAUAGAAAAUACAAACUGAUGCAAAGUAGGUUUUUUGAACCAUCACAUCACUCUUUGUCAGAAAGCAUCAAUUCCCUGGACACCAUCAGUUUGUUGGGACUAAACAUGAACUCCUCUGCUCUGCUUUUAUUAAUUGCAAAUAUGCUUUGUGAAAACCAGUAAAAGGGUGUUACCAGCUUAAGACUUUGCCAAGGCAGUAAGGUGGAGUUGCAUGUGGGAAUGAAGCCUUGUUUAAUCAGGUUUUGUAAUUACUUUGAUACAAUUUUAGCUGAAGCAUGUUGAGUCAAGCAGUUCCUGGUUUAAUACACUUACUCUUUAGUCUUCAGUUGCAAAUUUUAGAAUUUACCAAAUACCUAUUUAAUAACCAAUUUUUGUUGUUGCACACUGAUCAUCUACAAAUAUGCCUGUAGUAACUACAUGUUGUACUUUUAUCUGUUUUUACUUAAGUAACCAGUUUUAGAUGUCAAAUCUCCCCUGAAGUCUACUAAAUUUUUGGAUAGGUUUUAAAGAUGAAAAAAAUCAAUCCUCAUCUUGAACUCACAAUAAAGGGAAGUGAGCACAGCAGUAGCAGAGACUUUCCCUCUCUCGUACCAUGGAUUUGGUUUAGUUUUACAGUGUUUUCUUGACUCCCCCAUUAGAUCUAGAGGAGGAAUGUCCUCCAUGGAGAGGUGUAUUGGAGAUAGGGCUGUCUGAAUGCAGAGGCACCCACGGGGCACUUGCAGGUGAGCUUGCUGGGUUGGGGAGGAGUGGGUGUUACACUGCACAGCAACCUGAAGGUUCACAGCACUGAUAGUUCGCUAUCAGGACACACCUCACCUAUUGUCAACACAUGCAGAGGCUGUAGAGAGUUUGUAGCAAGAGGAGGUUGUUAUUUAUAGGCAAUGGAAAAGUUUAUGCUUCUUGUUUGCAAUUGCAAAUAUACAGGAAAACUGUACAUUCCUUUAUCAUCUUCAUUCAGUUGUUAAACCCCCAGGUUUCUUCCCCAAGAAUCAUCCCUGUUUCUCUGGAUUUCUUGAUUUAACCUCUAUAACCAAGGCACCUGACAAUUACUCUGAGAGUUUAUAGCGCUGCUUUUUUUGUUUUGUUUUACUUUUAAAAAAAAACCAAACAAAAACCUGUAAAAUCCGAAAACUCUGGGGCGUUUCUGAAGAAAAAAAGAUUGUUGCUUUGUUUGUUUUUUUUUUUUUUAAAUGAGAAAGGAACAUCUUAAAAUUAGGAAUAACAAGACAUUCGUGUUUGUAAUUAGUGAAUUAUAGCCUACAAAGUAGCUUGAAUGCUUUCAGCUGAAAGCUGCUUUGGAAGCUUAACAUGGGAUUAAUUUUUGAAGUAUACCUGGACUACCAAGAAGUUAAUCAAUGGAGUGUGAGCUAUACCCACUUAAAAAGCAAGGACAUGAAAAUCAGUGCAUUCUCCAUGAGAGGCUCUUAAUUAUUUCCUUUCAGAGAAUGUGCACAUUAUCUUAAUUAUACAGGAGCCUACGUAAAGGUACCAUUGGAUUGUAUCCAAUGAAAGCUAAAGCAAACAAUAUGACAAGAAAAAGGGCACUUGCGUCAUUUCACUUUAGCAUUUAAAAUACAAACAAUAACUAGCAAAUAAAAAGCUCCUAGCUCAUGGUGUGCUUACCAGUGCCAGCAUACUUAUUCCUUCACAUGUAAUCUUUAGAACAAAGAACUCCAUAUCAGAAAAUGCUUUGACAGUCUUUUUUUUUAUUUGUCUGCACAAAAGCAAGACCACAUUUCAGCAAGGAGGCAUGUUUCCUGUGGGGCUCUGCUGGCUUCAUGCGAUUAAUGACCUCUGCAUUUCCCAGAUAAGUCUUACUGUGUGAAUGUGAUCUUCUCCUGUGUGCAUGAGGGCACACAGCCACUAAAAAAAAAAGGCAUCAGAACGGAAGGGUGAUAAAGCUGCUGGUAAGACUGAGGUGCUGGAGCAUUUUUGUUAGAGAUGCCAUUGCUUUCUGUAAGGAGUAGAUUUUGAGAUGCUCAGUAAUGGUGAUUAAAAUGAUGAGUUAUUCUACAUGGUAAGCCUGUCACUCUGAUCAAAUCCACCUUGAGAAACUAAAGUUUCUAUAUCCGUGAGAUCCCAAGAUACUGUUUUGGAGACCUCAGCUUUAACACGUAUGUUCAGCUGUGACAAUGCACUGUUAACAUGCUUUCUUGAACAACUGAGGGGAAAAAUGUCCAGAUCUUUGUACAUUAUCCCCUGAAAGGGUACUUAUACGGCUUCAAAUGUCAGGCUGCUCUGGCAUUUCUCUGCAUCUUUGAUCACUUUAGGUAUAUUUUGGUGAUGCCAUUCGAAUGUUUCUCAGUAUUGCCACAAAAAAACGUUAUCAUAAUGUUACUUAGCACCAUGGCAUUGCCAAAUCACCUGGAAAGUGUUGGGGAACUUCCUUUGGAGAAUGGAAGGUAGAGGAAGGAGUUCUCCCUCAUCAGCCUUUCUUACCUUCCUCUGACCACUUUGGGAGCAGCUCCUAUCCUUUGAAAACUUUAGCUUUUCAUGGAAGCUGCAGAGUCACUUCCUCUCACUUGUGGGGAGGAAGACCCUAGUGUAGUCUCCUAUGCUCCCUUCCAGGGACACCCAGACCUACACUUGUUGCACAUGUGGCACUUUGCUGUGUCCUAGUGUGUUUUGAGGAGUGAAUAGCACAUUUUCUGUGGGAAGACAGGAGGACACACAGUCCUCCUCCAGCUUUGCAUGAGUCAAAAGCUCUGAAAAGGUGUGUGUGUGUCAGGACAGGCACAGAUGAAAACACUGCAUGACAGCAGUGACACUCAAUACAUUUUAGAGAUUAAUGUACAACACCUCUGAUCCCUACAUCUACCAGAGUAUGGUACAGAGGAAGGGAGGAUCACAAAUGGCACGUUUCUAAGCACAGAACAGCUGCCUCCAUUCAUGGAAGUGUCAAAAUAGUCCUUAAACAUCACUAAUGAAUUUUUUCCUAUAUUUAAUGUUUUCCAAUGCUAGUGGAGCCUAACUGAUAUAUGAGAAGUGUUUUAAAACCAAAUUCUUGUUGCUGUCAGGAAACCCCAAUUCAAGAUGCACUGAUCCAUUCCUUCCUAGAGUGAGGUUAGAAGUCUGUUGAAAAGGACAUGCGUCAAAUAUACCAUCACAGUCCAGUGCAGCCUGCUCUAGCAGUAGGGAUAGAAGUCUUGGUAAAAAAAAGUCAUGUUAUCCUUUAGCUGUGUUCUGUAGUAUCUCCCCUAAUCAAAGUAAUUCCUAACUUAUUUACACAAAAGGCAGAGUCCUUCUCUUUAGUGGGACUUUUUUUUUCUAACCCUUCGAUAUCUACUGCUCCUAAUUUUCUACCUGUAAUAAUUGAACCAUUCCCAUAUUAAAUGACUGUACUUGGAGAGAGGCACAGGUACCAGAGUGCUACAUAACUGCAGGGAAGUGGAAAACAGUGCAGUGAGACCUCUGUGGGCUUAAUCAGCUUUGUAGGGAACAUGCAGUCAUUGACUCUUCCAAGUGCACAGCAAGGAAGGAAAGUUUUCCUCUGGCUGACAGCUACUUUAAAGAGAUGAAUUUAUAUUUUUGGACACUGCACUUGGAAUUCCAGUUAAUAUUUUAAUCUAGUAAAUGGAUGUGGCAAUUGAUGGCAGAGUUCAGGGGUUGGAACUAUGUGAGUUUGAAUUAAUCAAUGCUCUCAAAGGCAGUACUACUUUUGCAUCUAAAGGGGGCUGAACAGAUAAAGUCCUCUGAUAAUUUAACACUAGAAGGCUUGAACUUCCUUGUAACAGAAUAAUUUCUCUGGGAAGGACAAAUUCUGCUCCCGUUUAUUUUUGGUGUCACAUUUACCACUACCAGCACUUUCUAUGCUCUUUAAGGAGCUAAUUUUAAAGUUAAUGGGAUUUUUGUGCACAAAGGGUUGGCCAGCCAUAACUGCAGACAGCACUGACGUACCUGAUUAGUAAGAAAUGUGACGCUUUUGCCACUUGGCCUUCUGCCCGGUGGGAGCUACUUCUGUUGAGCACAUCAAAUGAAUUCAUGUAAGUCACCAAAGAACUGCAGGCCAGGAAUGGCUGUUGGUUGCUACUGGAUCAGACCAGCUUCUGACCAGUCAGCUAGAGAAAUAUCCUGUACUUCAAACAGUGGAGUAUCCAUUUAAAAGCAUUUAAAAAUACAUACAACAAGAUGGAGUUGUUAGACUGGAAAAUCCUCUUUAGCAUGAUACCAUCUGGCCAUUAAAUAUCUAUGGAAAAGAGUUGAAAUACCAUAGUGACUCAUCAAGAAGUUAUUGAAUUGUGUACAUAAAUCUUUCUUUAGAAUUUAUUCAUUGGUGUGGAUGAGCUCAUGAAGUCAAACAUGCCUUUUUGUCUUUAUGAAGCUUCACACAGAAAAUCUGGUCUUUACACAAUUCUCUGACUACUCUUAAAUUCAGAGUAGUUACAUUAUGCAUACUGCAAGAGAAAAUUACUAUUUUCUUCCUUUUAUUCCAGCUUCAUUUUAAUGGGAUUAUAAACUGGCUUUUUAAAUACAGUAAAAAAUUUCUUGUUUCCUUCUACAGUAGUUUUUAAUUGACAGUCUAUUGUUGGCCAAGUCUUUGCUCAAAGGAGCUGCAACACCUGAAUCCCCUUCCUCCCACCAACCUACCUCACUCCCAUGCUCCCACUGCCAAGGAUGAAGUGGAUAGAAAUGCCUUUCAGAGCUGAAUUGUUUGAACUAAUGUCUCAGCACUGAGUGAGUGAGAUUUAUAGCAAAUAAUGUGAAUUUCUCAGGACUGUCUAGCCCACCUUAGCUGUGGUUUUGCUUGGGAACUCUUAUUGGUUUCUGUUUCGAAUUUUCUCCUGAUGCUUUUGUCCUACCACUUGUCACAGCUGUAGGAUAACUUGAUCAAUGCCUCAAGGCAAUACUCUUAUCGCUUUGGAACUUCUUGUACUUCCCGGGGAAAGGAAAUGCAUUAAUUUCAAAGCUGAGUCAACUCCUGAAAUGAAUUAGCACAUUGGGUAAAUAUCUGAAAGCAUAUUUUUACAAGUAACUACUCACGUGCCCUGAGCUGUUCCGUUUCAGAUGACAAGCAAGGAACAUGUCCUCUGGGCUCACUUAUGCACAGCUUUUGUGUCGACUUUGUGUGUUUGGGUUUUUUUAAAUCUUACUUUCUACAAAACUGGUUGUUAUAUAGAUUAUUUUCUUCUCCUCCUCUGGUCAUAAUUUUUGAUCUCACUGACCAAUUUCAGCCCAAAUCUAGAGAGGGAAGAGCAUUCAAUGAUGCUAAGUAUUCAUUAUGUUUCAUGAAAUAGAUCGUUGGAGGUCUGAGUUGCAAAGGCUGUACCACGAAGUUGCUCAUUAUUGGACAACAGGCAAUAUGCAGAAGAGAGACACAUUACAAAUGCUCUAAGGAUUGAAGACUUAGGGGAAGCAAAAAUACCCAACCUAAAUCCAUAGGAAACUGUCUUCAUUCUAGAGCUGAUGAAACUUUAUUUCAUUGAUUCAUUGCAAAAAAAAAAAAAAUCUUUCAAUUAAUUUUCUAAGAGGAUUUUGAAGAAAACGUACAGUAUGUUGGUCAGACCUGGAUGUGCUGAGUCUUCUUGUUUUGUCUUCGUGCAGAUCACUGUGAGUGUGGACAAUGUAAUGGCUACUCCCUACCUCAAUGCAUGUUAGAAAGCUUAAUUAUUCUAAAUACACAGUUUUAUCAGGGAUCCCAAUGAGAGCAGAAACAGGACUAAAUAGGACAAAAUAUUAGCUGAGUGCUUUUGAAUGUGAAAGAUAAGAUAAAGAAAGAUCUUUUAAGUGUAGGUAAAUAUCUCUCUCCUUUUUUUUUCAUGUAUAGUUCUUCUAUCAGCCAUUUAGAACACACAAGAUUUAAAACAUAUGAGCAGAAACAAUAUUUGUAAAUGAAAUGCCAUCUUAAAAGUUAUUCAGCUGUAAAAGUAGAGAACAGAAUCCUACAGUAUAGGACACAGAUGUAUAAACAGAAAUGGCCACAAUGCCAUAGUCUU
Pseudopipra pipra is the source of this 11691-nucleotide long non-coding RNA. RefSeq lists it as uncharacterized. NCBI's taxonomy places the organism in Eukaryota, Metazoa, Chordata, Aves, Passeriformes, Pipridae. The record is from RefSeq and is a predicted model, not a curated record. The transcript is spliced from 3 exons.